UAUUCUGCCCCAUGGGGAAGGAUGAGAAGCUUCGACUAAGGUUCGACUCGAGCGAAGCGAGAGAACGUUGCCGCAGGCAACGGCCCGAAGGGCGAAGCGCUUUAGCGCCGAGUAAUCCUUCCCCCACCACUG
Molecule: small RNA, 132 nt
Filed under: Klebsiella pneumoniae
Lineage: Bacteria; Pseudomonadati; Pseudomonadota; Gammaproteobacteria; Enterobacterales; Enterobacteriaceae
Also listed under: 7 other names
Description: RtT sRNA
Rfam family: RtT RNA
About the family: This family represents a bacterial cis-regulatory element known as RtT RNA.
Source: RNAcentral